Molecule: ribosomal RNA, 495 nt
Filed under: uncultured Acinetobacter sp.
Lineage: Bacteria; Pseudomonadati; Pseudomonadota; Gammaproteobacteria; Moraxellales; Moraxellaceae
Description: bacterial SSU rRNA
Rfam family: Bacterial small subunit ribosomal RNA
Source: RNAcentral
CGGUAAUACAGAGGGUGCGAGCGUUAAUCGGAUUUACUGGGCGUAAAGCGUGCGUAGGCGGCUGAUUAAGUCGGAUGUGAAAUCCCUGAGCUUAACUUAGGAAUUGCAUCCGAUACUGGUCAGCUAGAGUAUGGGAGAGGAUGGUAGAAUUCCAGGUGUAGCGGUGAAAUGCGUAGAGAUCUGGAGGAAUACCGAUGGCGAAGGCAGCCAUCUGGCCUAAUACUGACGCUGAGGUACGAAAGCAUGGGGAGCAAACAGGAUUAGAUACCCUGGUAGUCCAUGCCGUAAACGAUGUCUACUAGCCGUUGGGGCCUUUGAGGCUUUAGUGGCGCAGCUAACGCGAUAAGUAGACCGCCUGGGGAGUACGGUCGCAAGACUAAAACUCAAAUGAAUUGACGGGGGCCCGCACAAGCGGUGGAGCAUGUGGUUUAAUUCGAUGCAACGCGAAGAACCUUACCUGGCCUUGACAUACUAGAAACUUUCCAGAGAUGGAUU